RNAcentral lists this unclassified non-coding RNA (264 nucleotides) under plant metagenome. RNAcentral describes it as "partial contains small subunit ribosomal RNA, internal transcribed spacer 1, and 5.8S ribosomal RNA". The stretch from base 216 to 264 matches the Rfam family "5.8S ribosomal RNA", at positions 1 to 49 of the family's 154-position model. The record is from RNAcentral.
UCUCCGUUGGUGAACCAGCGGAGGGAUCAUUACCGAGUUUACAACUCCCAAACCCAAUGUGAACCAUACCAAACUGUUGCCUCGGCGGGGUCACGCCCCGGGUGCGUCGCAGCCCCGGAACCAGGCGCCCGCCGGAGGGACCAACCAAACUCUUUCUGUAGUCCCCUCGCGGACGUUAUUUUUACAGCUCUGAGCAAAAAUUCAAAAUGAAUCAAAACUUUCAACAACGGAUCUCUUGGUUCUGACAUCGAUGAAGAACGCAGC